Molecule: non-coding RNA, 1001 nt
Organism: Drosophila melanogaster (fruit fly)
Lineage: Eukaryota; Metazoa; Arthropoda; Insecta; Diptera; Drosophilidae
Source: Ensembl
CAAAACGCAGAGGCAGCCGGAAAAGUUUAGUAUAGCUCGAGCUCAAGCACCAGCUCAAACGCCGAGCCAAGUUCUCAGCCCGCUUUUCCAGCCCACCACCCACCUCGAAGUCCUUUGAAUGGUGCCAAGCGGCCAGCGCUCGAAGGCAUUUCCAUGAUUACAAGCAAAGGACAUGGGCCCCAGAACAGCAGGGCAGCACUUUGAAAUUGAAGCUGCUGGGAAAGGGAUGAGUGUACACAUGUAUGCCAAUGCGAGGGAUGGCAUCCGGCUCUGAAGACCUCUCAAGUCAAAUUAAAGACUCGACACCCCUCACGUCAGAGCCCCUUCCAAACGGACCGAGCGACUCUUGUCCCACUGCCAAGCACCAAACUUAGUAGCCAUAAAUGAAAUGGAUCAACUGCGGGCCCUUGAAUACCGCUUGAGUUGAUAACAUUUUCCAUUGCCAAACUGUGAGAAUCUGGAGUAGAGAUACAUAGUCCUAUUUAUCGCAGUAAUACAUGAUAGAACCAAUACCAAUAGGCCAUAUAGCCGAUUGGAGCCACAUUAAAUCCAAUCAAUGUUCUUCCCAGCUCCUCAAGUCCAUCAAUCUCAGCUGCGCACUCUUACCGGAAGACUGCGGGGGAAUUGGAAACUGGUAACUGGCGAUGAGGAGAGUGCUAUCUGGUCAUGUGGCACCUUCAGGAAAUGUCUCAUGCGGUUAUCAGGAGUGGUAAUCUUAUCACUGGUCGCUGGCACUCGGAGCUGACAAAUGUUAGAGGUAGAAGUGCAUUUCUGGCUCGAUUCGGCUUGUGGGGUGGGACACAAAGAGGACAUUGACUGCAACUUGUGGAGCACAUCGAAAGGGGGGCGAGCCGGGCACUGGAGCUACCCGAAGACCAUGUGGCGCAGUCAAUAAAACAAAUAUGACAGGGCGGCGGAUGUCGGGGAGCGACGCAAGUGUAAUGAUAAUAAAAGUUUAUGACAGCAGCUCAUGAGCUUGUAAGGCUAAUGUCAACGUACUU